ACAAACUUGGUCAUUUAGAGGAAGUAAAAGUCGUAACAAGGUCUCCGUUGGUGAACCAGCGGAGGGAUCAUUAGCGAGUUAGUUAUAAACUCCAAACCCAUGUGAACAUACCUUUUGUUGCCUCGGCAGGUCGUGCCGCACGGUUGGACCGCUACCCGGAAACAGCUACCCUGUAAUUGGGAGUAGCUACCCUGGAGAGCCCGCCCUGCAGCAUAUACCAAAGGCCUGCCGAAGGAUAUCUAACUCUGUUUUACAACUGUAUCUCUGAGUCUAUUAUACAAAUAAGUUAAAACUUUCAACAACGGAUCUCUUGGUUCUGGCAUCGAUGAAGAACGCAGC
Molecule: unclassified non-coding RNA, 339 nt
Filed under: uncultured fungus
Lineage: Eukaryota; Fungi
Description: partial contains small subunit ribosomal RNA, internal transcribed spacer 1, and 5.8S ribosomal RNA
Rfam family: Eukaryotic small subunit ribosomal RNA (bases 1-73)
Source: RNAcentral